This 712-nucleotide ribosomal RNA is filed under the name uncultured Capnocytophaga sp. RNAcentral's name for it is "bacterial SSU rRNA". It matches the Rfam family "Bacterial small subunit ribosomal RNA", at positions 62 to 779 of the family's 1533-position model. Lineage: Bacteria; Pseudomonadati; Bacteroidota; Flavobacteriia; Flavobacteriales; Flavobacteriaceae. The record is from RNAcentral.
UCGAGGGAUAAGCUUUCGAGCUGAAACCGGCGUACGGGUGCGUAACGCGUAUACAAUCUGCCUUUCACAUAGGGAUAGCCCGAAGAAAUUUGGAUUAAUACCUAAUGGUAUAUAGGAGCGGCAUCGUUUUUAUAUUAAAGCUACGGUGGUGAAAGAUGAGUAUGCGUUCUAUUAGCUAGUUGGAGAGGUAACGGCUCCCCAAGGCGACGAUAGAUAGGGGUUCUGAGAGGGAUGUCCCCCACACUGGUACUGAGAUACGGACCAGACUCCUACGGGAGGCAGCAGUGAGGAAUAUUGGACAAUGGUCGGAAGACUGAUCCAGCCAUGCCGCGUGCAGGAUGAAGGUCCUAUGGAUUGUAAACUGCUUUUGUAAGGGAAGAAUAAGGAGUACGUGUACUUUGAUGACGGUACCUUACGAAUAAGCAUCGGCUAACUCCGUGCCAGCAGCCGCGGUAAUACGGAGGAUGCGAGCGUUAUCCGGAAUCAUUGGGUUUAAAGGGUCCGUAGGCGGGCUGAUAAGUCAGAGGUGAAAGCGCUUAGCUCAACUAAGCAACUGCCUUUGAAACUGUCAGUCUUGAAUGAUUGUGAAGUAGUUGGAAUGUGUAGUGUAGCGGUGAAAUGCUUAGAUAUUACACAGAACACCGAUAGCGAAGGCAUAUUACUAACAAUUUAUUGACGCUGAUGGACGAAAGCGUGGGGAGCGAACAGGAUU